Molecule: long non-coding RNA, 865 nt
Filed under: Musa acuminata (dwarf banana)
Lineage: Eukaryota; Viridiplantae; Streptophyta; Magnoliopsida; Zingiberales; Musaceae
Description: long non-coding RNA (MACU_LNC000483)
Source: RNAcentral
AGAAUUGUUCUUGUUCCAGUUCCGCUUACGUAAGCUCUCCAUUAUACAAAGCUUGUUCCCUUGCUUAUUUACUUGGGUGCACAACUUAUGUAAGAUGGUAACAACCCUUACUCUAUUCUAUAUUAGGUAAGAUGGCUAUCUUCUUCUCUUUCUCUAUUCUAUAUUAGGUAGGAUGAUGGCUAUCUUCUUCUCUUUCUCUAUUCUAUAUUAGUAGGUAGAAUGGCUAUCUUCUUCUCUUUCGCUGUAAUGCGUGAGUUUUGGAAUUAGCAAACGAACAACCCUAGAAACUUGUGUACUACCCUUUAUUGCCGUAAUUGCCCUCUCUCUCCUCUUAUUGUUAUUGCCGUAAUUCCGUUGCUUGUUCAGGCGUUAAAGCAAGGUUAAGAACAGAAUAUCUUACUGACUUUGAAGCGCUAACAGAAGGAGUGGAAAGCGUUAUAUAAGUUAGCGCAAGAACCAGUAGAACUCAAUAAGCGUAGCUCUGAAUACGAGUGAAGUUUGCCUGAAUGCUACGUUAGUGAGAUGAGAGAGCUGUUGAGAAAGCAAUGUAGCUCUGGUAAAUAAUAGGGAUAUUUAGUGUUUCGCAAUUAGGAGUUAACUUGAACUGGCCUACCCGCGAGCGGGCUACUUGGCUUCCCCUUUCCUUUCGUAACUCGCAACAAACAAGAAAUGGACUAGCUUAGGCUUCUUCCCUAGCGCUUGUUGCUAGCCUUACUAAUAUGGAGGAAGAACGUCAACAAACAGCUUAGUUUCCGUCAAAACUCUAUCACUAAGGCACUUUGACUUUGGCGAACUCUACCACUUAUUACUGAACGAACUCAAUUCUACCACUUAUUGCCCUAGUUUGCGCUGUUCCUAAUACGGA